This 516-nucleotide ribosomal RNA is filed under the name Salmonella enterica. RNAcentral describes it as "bacterial SSU rRNA". It matches the Rfam family "Bacterial small subunit ribosomal RNA", at positions 1 to 508 of the family's 1533-position model. Lineage: Bacteria; Pseudomonadati; Pseudomonadota; Gammaproteobacteria; Enterobacterales; Enterobacteriaceae. The record is from RNAcentral.
AAAUUGAAGAGUUUGAUCAUGGCUCAGAUUGAACGCUGGCGGCAGGCCUAACACAUGCAAGUCGAACGGUAGCACAGAGAGCUUGCUCUCGGGUGACGAGUGGCGGACGGGUGAGUAAUGUCUGGGAAACUGCCUGAUGGAGGGGGAUAACUACUGGAAACGGUGGCUAAUACCGCAUAACGUCGCAAGACCAAAGAGGGGGACCUUCGGGCCUCUUGCCAUCAGAUGUGCCCAGAUGGGAUUAGCUUGUUGGUGAGGUAACGGCUCACCAAGGCGACGAUCCCUAGCUGGUCUGAGAGGAUGACCAGCCACACUGGAACUGAGACACGGUCCAGACUCCUACGGGAGGCAGCAGUGGGGAAUAUUGCACAAUGGGCGCAAGCCUGAUGCAGCCAUGCCGCGUGUAUGAAGAAGGCCUUCGGGUUGUAAAGUACUUUCAGCGGGGAGGAAGGUGUUGUGGUUAAUAACCGCAGCAAUUGACGUUACCCGCAGAAGAAGCACCGGCUAACUCCGUGC